UUNUUAUAUAUAUCAUAAGCGAUACGGAAAUGGAUCGAGUAAUCUGUUCCUUUAUCCAAGAAAAGGUAUUUCUAGUUUGCAUGGUCCAAUCAUUGAUCCCGAAAAUUUCUACAAUAAAUUAGGUAGGUCGCUAGUAUAGUUCCCUAUCCACGAUUCUAAA
RNAcentral lists this microRNA precursor (160 nucleotides) under Vitis vinifera (wine grape). RNAcentral describes it as "mir6483". The record is from RNAcentral. Lineage: Eukaryota; Viridiplantae; Streptophyta; Magnoliopsida; Vitales; Vitaceae.